Molecule: transfer RNA, 73 nt
Filed under: Stegodyphus mimosarum
Lineage: Eukaryota; Metazoa; Arthropoda; Arachnida; Araneae; Eresidae
Rfam family: tRNA
About the family: Transfer RNA (tRNA) molecules are approximately 80 nucleotides in length. Their secondary structure includes four short double-helical elements and three loops (D, anti-codon, and T loops).
Source: Rfam by way of RNAcentral
GCCUUCGUGGUGUAGUGGUCAGCACGCUAGAUGCGUGUUCAAGAGGCCCGUGGUUCGAGUCCCGGCAAAAGCA